Non-coding RNA from Rattus norvegicus (Norway rat), 18651 nucleotides. NCBI's taxonomy places the organism in Eukaryota, Metazoa, Chordata, Mammalia, Rodentia, Muridae. The record is from RefSeq and is a predicted model, not a curated record.
ACUGCAAUUUCAGCAUUCAAGAGUCUAAGGUAGGAGACUGGAGAGAGCAGGCUCAGUGACUGCUCUACCAGAGCUGAAUUCAAUUCCCAGUAACCAUGUGGUGUCUCACAACCAUAUGUAAUGGGAUCUAAUGCCCUCUUCUGGUGUGUCUGACCAGUCAGCAACCAUGCAGAUAUAUUUUAUUAUAUAUAUAUAUAUAUAGAAUUGGAGGUAUGAGGAUUGUCAAGGGUUUGACACCAGCCUAGUAGCAAUUUCUUUUCCUCAAAACAACCAUUAAUUUGUAUAAAAAAACCAGUCUAGUACCUUUGCAAGGACACAGCAAUUUUGAAGAGUUGACAUGGCCCAUGUAGCCCACAAAAGACUAGAAAUAAACACAUAUUGGGGUUGGGGAUUUAGCUCAGCGGUAGAGCAUCUGCCUAGCAAGCGCAAGGCUCUGGGUUCGGUCCCCAGCUCCGAAAAAAAGAAGAAAAAAAAAAAAAAGAAAUAAACACAUAUUUAUGUUUGGCAUUUCUUAGGAAAAUUUGAUUUACAAAGCAAAAAAACAACAAAAAAAAAAAGACUAGUAACAGUUUCUGUUACCUGCAAAUGGUAGGUGGAUCUUAAGUUAUAUUUGCCACAUCCUUUUAUGUGUAUUCUCAAGACUUUAUUCAAAAAUAUCUUUAGCAUUUUCUUUUGAAAAUAGUAUAAAGGUCAUGAAGCCACACCCAGUACAAACCUGUAUCUGAACCUCUUGGGAGAAGGAUGCUCUCCAUUUUCACUCAGUUUCCAUAACAUAUGAUGGAAACAUAAUCACUGUCUGGUUUCUGAGCCCACUACCACCUGCUUGCUCCUCACCUGUGGUCCCAUAAACGUUUAAAGCCUCAAAGAUAUGUAUGUAACCUUCAGGCAGGAAAAAAAAAGUUUCUUCAGCUAGAGUCAUUGGGCUGGGAAGCCUGGAACCUUCUAGCUUCAACAAAUGAGCGCCAAGUGUCCAGACAUUACAAGGAAACGGCUGACUGAGACCAGUAAGGGUAAAUCUGGGUUACCUCUUCAUGUAAUUUAAUCAUCUAAAUAAUCUGGACCUGCAUAGUCGUCACUAUGGUGAUGAUUCUAGAAAAUCACCUAGGUAGUUUGGAGAUAAUUCUUUUUUUCUCACCCCACCCCCUGGAGAUAAUUCUUAAGAGGAUAAUUUUUAACACUGAAGUACUAAAUGCUUGGCAGUCUUUGGCCCAGAAUUUCAGACAGUGGCGAACAAGUGCUACAGUUUCUAAAUCGGCGGUAUCUAGUAUAUCGAGUCUCAAAGCUGACUGAAAAACCGACUCAAUUACCGUUUACCGGGAGGGUCUCAGGGAAACAAACACCGAACAGCUCAAACACGUGGCUUUUCAGAGAGCGUGGGAAAAGAAAGGGGGGUGGGGGAGGAAACUGCCAGGACUUAAGAUGUCUGCCGAAGACCCCCUGUAUCCGCCAGAGAGAGCGUACCCUCUUCCAAAAUGUCCUCCCGCAGUAUUGACGUCACACCGCCGGCCCCUUCUAAGCCAGAAAUUGAGAGUGCUCCAAUCAGGGCCCUAGCUCCGCCCUGCACGCGCGUCACUUCCGGUGGUGCAGCAGCCAUUUUGUCAGUCGCCAGCGGAUCCCGCGCGCUGCAGAAGUGCAGUUCCCCCUGGUUACCAGGUCGUCGGUUCUUCCUUCGCGCUGCGGGCGCCCUCGAAGAGCGCCCACCAAAGGCGUAGCCUUUUCUCCUUAAAGUGUUGCCGCCACUGUUGCACCUUUACUGAUCCAGAGCGCUGUCUGCCUUUUCCUACCACUGACAGGCGCCCUAAGGGCGCUGCCACCAGCGAUGUCAAGCGAGGAAAGCUAUCGGGCCAUCCUGCGCUAUUUGACGAACGAACGUGAGCCUUAUGCACCGGGCACUGAAGGCAAUGUCAAGCGUAAAAUCCGCAAGGCUGCCGCCUGCUACGUAGUGCGCGGCGGGACUCUCUACUACCAGCGGCGGCAGCGGCACCGCAAGACGUUUGCGGAGUUGGAAGUAGUGCUGCAGCCGGAGCGGCGCCAGGGCCUCAUAGAGGCGGCACACCUGGGCCCUGGAGGCACUCACCACACUCGGCAUCAGACCUGGCAUGACCUGUCCAAGACGUACUGGUGGCGAGGUGAGCGCUGGCCCCGGGCGAGGGGGCACCUGGGCGGCAGGUUUUGCGGGGCAUGGUCCGAGGAGAGGCCUGCGUGCGCACUCGCGAGCCUGAAGUCUGGGACCGCUGUGCCCUAGCCAGGUGGCGUUCGGCUGCGCGGCGGCCGCGGGACCGAGCCGAGCGGGUGGGGGACGUGAAAGCAGCCGCACUUCCCUACAGGAAGGAGGCCCGGGAGGCUGGGGGCGGACCCUCGCCCGGGGUGGGGCUUCGGGGGCUUCCCUCGGGGCCGGGCCAGCGGGCGGAGGGCGUGGCGCGGCCUAUCUGGGUCCGCCCCCUCAGGCCCCUGGGGGAUGGUGGGAGGCCUGGACGCAGAGGCAAACCUUCCGUCUCUCUUCCUUAUGCCUUUGAAGGCUGGCCCAAACCCUGGCAGCAGUCUCCAGUAUAUUAAAGCAAGUAAAAGAUUACAUAAAACAGUGUAGCAAAUGUCAGGAGAAACUUGAUCGCUCCCGUCCAAUAUCAGAUGCUUCAGAAAUGUUGGAAGAAUUGGGAUUGGACCUUGAAUCUGGAGAAGAAAGUAAUGAGUCAGAGGAUGAUCUGAGCAACUUUACUUCCCCUCCAACCACAGCCUCCAAGACUUCAAAAAAGAAGCCAGUAUCUAAACAUGAACUUGUAUUUGUUGACACCAAAGGAGUGGUAAAACGGUCUUCUCCAAAACAUUGCCAGGCAGUUCUGAAGCAGCUGAAUGAACAGAGACUUUCCAACCAGUUCUGUGAUGUCACAUUGUUAAUUGAAGGGGAGGAGUACAAAGCUCAUAAGUCUGUUCUCUCAGCUAAUAGUGAAUAUUUUCGAGAUCUUUUUAUUGAGAAAGGAGCAGUUUCUAGUCACGAGGCUGUCGUGGAUCUUUCUGGUUUCUGUAAAGCAAGCUUCCUUCCUUUGCUGGAAUUUGCCUAUACUUCAGUGCUAAGUUUUGACUUCUGUAGCAUGGCUGAUGUAGCUGUCUUAGCUCGCCACCUUUUCAUGUCAGAAGUUUUAGAAAUUUGUGAAAGUGUACAUAAACUAAUGGAAGAGAAGCAACUUACAGUGUAUAAGAAAGGUGAAGUUCAAACAGUCGCAUCUACUCAGGACUUAGCAGCACACAACGGAGCUGCAACACCACCCGGCCCUAGGAAUGAAGCCACCACGACUUUGUCAAGUGACCUUGGGCAUUGUGAAAUUGUACUGCUGGUAAAUGGAGAAGUGCCAGAAACAGAGCAGAAUGGGGAGCCAGGACAGCAGCCUGCACCUCAGGUUUCUGCAGAGGCCGAAGCCAGUGUGUCGCCCGCAGGAUGUAUACCCAAUCCCCCCACUGAAAUGGGAGCUGCAAGCUUAGCAACAGAAAGUAACCAGCCCGAGCUUGAGUCUGCAGUCGUCAGAGAAGACGGCGGUGUUGCUAGCGUUCCUCCUAAGAUCUCAGAAGAGAAUGUAAUCAACACGUCCCAAGAGGACAGUGAUAUAGGAAAUGAUACAUCACCUGAGGACACCUGUACCAAAGACUUUUCAGAUCAUAGUCAGAGCUCGGGCCAACCUUUAAAAGACGAGGAAACUCUAAUUGAAGCUACAGAAAAGACAGACUCCGGCCAGGAUGAUGAUACUUACAGGAGCAGGCUUAGGCAGCGGUCUGUAAAUGAAGGGGGCUACAUCCGGCUACACAAGGGCAUGGAGAAAAAGUUACAGAAACGGAAAGCCAUUUCUAAGUCAGCAGUUCAACAGGUGGCCCAGAAAUUAGUUCAAAGAGGGAAAAAGAUGAAACAACCCAAAAGGGAUGCUAAGGAGAGUGCCGAAGAAACGCCUCAUAAAUGUGGGGAGUGUGGGAUGGUGUUUCCAAGACGAUAUGCCUUUAUAAUGCAUACAUUGAAACAUGAGAGAGCGAGAGACUACAAAUGUCCGUUAUGUAAGAAGCAGUUUCAGUAUAGUGCCUCACUACGAGCACACCUUAUACGACAUACAAGAAAAGAUGCACCCACGUCAUCUUCAUCUAAUUCCACAUCUAACGAGGCAUCAGGAGCAUCAUCUGAGAAGGGACGAACCAAGAGAGAGUUUAUAUGUUCUAUCUGUGGAAGGACAUUGCCUAAACUGUACUCUCUCCGCAUACAUAUGCUAAAGCACACGGGUGUAAAGCCGCACGCAUGCCAGGUGUGUGGAAAAACUUUUAUCUAUAAGCAUGGUCUAAAAUUGCAUCAAAGUCUGCAUCAGUCCCAAAAGCAGUUUCAGUGUGAGCUAUGCGUCAAGUCCUUUGUCACCAAACGGAGUCUUCAGGAACACAUGAGUAUUCACACAGGAGAGUCCAAGUACUUUUGCUCAGUCUGUGGAAAGUCUUUUCACAGGGGCUCUGGACUUAGCAAGCACCUUAAGAAACACCAGCCAAAGCCUGAGGUUCGAGGCUAUCAUUGCACUCAGCUCCAUAUGGACCAAGUCUGGCAGUGCUUUCAACUCCUCAUCCUCUCAGCUUCCAAACUGUCAAGAGUCUUUCCUGGUAGUUCCUGUAAAAGUCCCGUGUUUCCCUCUGAUUGGAUCCAAUGUGAGAAAAGUUUCUUUGAAGCUAGAGACCUGCGCCAGCAUAUGAAUAAGCACCUCGGCGUGAAGCCGUUCCAGUGCCAGUUUUGUGAUAAGUGCUACAGCUGGAAGAAAGAUUGGUAUUCCCACGUGAAGUCCCAUUCUGUCACUGAGCCCUACAGGUGUAAUAUAUGUGGCAAAGAGUUUUAUGAAAAAGCUUUAUUCAGAAGACAUGUAAAGAAGGCCACCCAUGGGAAGAAAGGAAGAGCAAAGCAAAACCUGGAACGGGUGUGUGAUCAGUGUGGAAGGAAGUUCACUCAGCUGAGAGAGUACAGGAGACAUAUGAACAAUCAUGAAGGUGUUAAACCGUUUGAGUGCUUAACAUGUGGAGUAGCGUGGGCUGAUGCCCGAUCAUUAAAACGUCACGUCCGAACACAUACUGGUGAACGGCCCUAUGUGUGUCCUGUAUGUAGUGAAGCCUACAUAGAUGCUCGAACACUUCGUAAGCAUAUGACUAAAUUCCACAGAGACUAUGUGCCUUGCAAAAUUAUGCUUGAGAAAGACACUCUGCAGUUUCAUAACCAGGGAACGCAAGUGGAGCACGCUGUGAGCAUCCUAACUGCAGACAUGCAGGAACAGGAAAGCAGCGGGCCGCAAGAGCUUGAGACCGUGGUGGUGACGGGAGAGACUAUGGAAGUUCUUGAAGCUGUGGCAGCUACGGAGGAGUGUCCAUCGGUGUCGACCCUCUCUGACCAAAGCAUCAUGCAAGUGGUGAACUAUGUGCUGGCGCAGCAGCAAGGGCAGAAGCUGUCUGAAGUGGCAGAGGCCAUCCAGACUGUUGAAGUGGAGGUGGCACAUAUGCCAGAAGCGGAGUGAAGGCCGCCUGUGGGGCUCACAGAGGACGCACAUGUCUACAGUUCAUGUCGCCUCCACGCGGACCUCAGAUGGAGACCUCUGGCCUGUUGGUGACAUCACUUGUCUGGCCAGUGAGUUCUGCAGGAAAGUCCACUUUCUGUAAAGAAAUUGAAAACAAAAAUCUGUUGGAUGGAAGUAGUUGAUCAUGGGCUGCGGAGAGCUAGGGACAAGCGCACCCUAACCAAGAGCUCCAGGACUAACCUACACUCCAUAAUGAGUGUAGUCCUCAGCACAGAUGAGGGACGACAACAUACAGUAAGAGUCAGCUCUGAAACUACUACUGAGAGCUGGAGGAAUGAUCUCCGUUGUGGAAUUCUUAUCCAGAAUACCAGUUCGUGGGUUCAGUUCCCAGCACCGCAGCAAACAGAAAAUCUGUUGCAAAAGAAGUGACCUAAAACCCACAAGUAAGGUUAAAAACUAAUUUGGGGGGUUGGGGAUUUAGCUCAGCGGUAGAGCACUUGGCUAGCAAGCGCAAGGCCCUGGGUUUGGUCCCCAGCUCCGAAAAAAAAAAAAAAAACCAAAAAAAUAAAAAAAACCAAAAAAACCUAAUUUGGUGGUUUAUCGUGAGCAUUUGUAAAAAUGAAACAAAAAUCCAGAGAUAUGGCAAAGAGAAACGUACAGUGUCAAUGUUUUGUUGUUGCAGAUGUGUACGCAGGAUGGUGCACACCUUUAAACCCAGUACUCUGAGGUAGAGGUAGGUGGAUCUCUUCGAGGUCAAAUCCGGCCUAGUCCACAGAGCAAGCUCUAGGACAGCCAGGGUUGCACAGUGAGACUGUCUCAAAAAUAAAUAUAAUAAAAACGUGUGUGUGUGCACUUCAUCUGGACUGGUGACAGUAUCAGAUCUACUUAAGUUCUAGUAGUGACAGGCAGAGCUGCUGGGACUACAGACUUCGCGAUCGUGGAUAGAUUGUUAGAUUUUAAUUCUUUGUGGGCUCAUAUGGGCAGUAUGGAUUGGUGUGACCGUUUACUGUCUCCUCCCCUUGCUCUCCCUACAGCGCGCACCUUCCGAUGUUCUUCAUCCUCAUCUUCGCUUCUGGAGGCAUUUCUUCCGGCUCACUCUGCACAACACGGAAGUGGAAAUGAAUGCAUUUAAAUUAUUAAUUCACUUGGUUACUAAGGCUAAUUUUUUUUUAAUGUUUUAAUGCCAUAAAAGGAGUAAGGCAGUGAACUUUAACAAUUACUCUGUUUUAAUCUUGGGGUUGAGGGGCCUCAGUCAAUAAGCACGGGGACUUGAAUCCAAUCUCCAACUAUGCUAGAUACAGUGGAGGCUGCCUACAGUUCUGGUGCCUGGGAGGUGGAGAAGAAGGAUCCUAGGGCCUGCUGGCCAGCCUAUCUAACUGAAUCAUCGAGUUCACGCUAACAGGGCUCUGUCUUAAAAAAAGGGAGGAGAGGGAAGGGGAAGGGAAGGGAAAGAACAAGGUGGAGACUAGCUGAAAAGACACCCGAUACUGAGCUCUGGCCUUCAUACAUAUAUGCACACGUGCAUAGGCACCUGCCCUCAGAGCAUACACACACACACACCUAAGUCAGAGCUAUAUUUGGUAGGAUUAAGAGAAAAGUAACUCUCCUAUGCUAAUUAGUCAAAGAGACAUAUGAACUUCAUGUUCGCUGGCACUUUUCACACUGGCAAGACAUGGAUUCUGCCUACCCAUCUAUGAGUAAAUGGUUCAAGAAAAUGUCACAAUAUAUAUUCGUAACACAAAAAUUUAAAUUGUGUAUGUGGGGGUAUGGGGCUUGAGGUAGGUAGAGGUGCCCUGAGAGGACAGAAGCCACAGUCACAGCUGCCAGACAUGGGUGCUAGAACAUUAAGGUCCUAGGAGAAGAGAAAGAAUCCUUACCCACUGUGCCAUCUCUCCAGCCUCUUUUGCUAAAAUAUUUUAAAGCCGUAACAAAGAAUAAAGCAAAAGGCAAACAAAAUUUAAAGGGUCAGGUGUUAGUACACAGGAGGUGAAGGCAGAAGCUGGUAGAUUUUUGUGAGUUCCCGGUCAGCUACAGACAAAGAGUAGACUCACUCUUAAAACAAACAAAUUUCCUGAAGAUUAAGGUAAGACAAUGAAUCAUGGUGUACAGCUUUGAGCAACAAAGCUCUAGCCUAAGGCUGUGUGUAAUCAGGUAUAAUUCUCCAUUUGCAGAGAUGAACUAAUAGACACCGCAAAGGAGCACAUGAGAAGAAACAACCGCCAUGUUACCACAUCGCACAUGAAGCGCUACUACGUUAUAGCUGACAACAGCUCCCAUACAUACUUUGCCUACUUUCUAUGUUAUCAUUUCCUUCUGGACUUGUACAUCCCAGUUCCCUCAGUUGGGUAUGGAAGAAUGGUAGGAACAUCAGAAGUUCAAGACUGUCCUCAGCUAUCUAGUGAGUAACCGUCAACUAUUAGAGUCCCUGCUUCAAAGACAAGACAGACAAAAUGGUCAGAUGCAGUGUCCCACACCUUUAACCCCAGCUUGCCUAACAUACACAAUGCUCUAGCAAGGCUUGGUCCUCCACACCACGUAAAACUGGGUAUGGUGGGGUUGGGGAUUUAGCUCAGUGGUAGAGCGCUUGCCUAGCAAGCACAAGGCCCUGGGUUCGGUCCCCAGCUCCGAAAAAAAGAAAAGAAAAAAAACCAAAAAACAAAACAAAACAAAACAAAACAAACAAACAAAAAAAAAAAAACUGGGUAUGGCCAAGCAAGGUGGUAUAGCAUCUUUAGUCCUAACAUUUGGAGGGCAGAAGCAGGAGGAUCUAUGUGAGUUUGAGGCUAGCCUGGCCUACAGAGAGUUCUAGGACAGCCAGAGCCACACAGAAAAACCCUGACUCAAACACAAAGAAAGAAAGAAAGAAAGAAAGAAAGAAAGAAAGAAAGAAAGAAAGAAAGAAAGAAAGAAAGAAAGAAAGGACACUGAUCUAGUGGUGCAUAUUUGUGAUCCCAAUGCGUGAGGUGGAGGUAGAGGGUCUGAAAUGACAGCCAUCCUUAUCCUUAGCUACGUACCCCGCUCCAGGCCAGUCAGUUUGAGAUGUGUGAGACCAUGGGAAAUUGCACUCAUGAUCCUGAGUGUGGUAGGAUGUGGACACUAUAAGGGGCACAAGAGGACUGGGACAGACAGCAGAGCAGACCCUCGGAGCUCACUCUGACACUCAGGAGAGGAAGUCUAAUGGAGCCACUUGCUUGCACUGCUAUUCCUGCUACAGAUGCACUGCACAGCUGCUUUUUGUAGCAAGCAUAAGGUAAUCCCUCAAGACCAACUGUAAAGUUAUUGAGAGGAGCAAUACUAAAGGUCAAGAGUGAGGGGCUGGGGACAUACCUCAGCGGGUAAAGGUGCUUGCCACCAGCCAGCCAGCCUAUAUUCAAUCUGAGGGACCCACGGAGUUGACGAACUAAGUCCACAAGUUGUUUUCUGACCUCUCUAUAUUUGAACGAACAUGUGUAACAAGGUGCGCACACACAUACCCACAAAUGUUCAAAAGGAAAUUCAUUGAGCCAGGCAUGGUGGCAUAUGCAUUACUGACUCAUAUAAUUCCUAGUAUGUAUUAUAAGCAUUUGACUUGACUCAAGUUUCUUGAAAUUUUCUAUAAAAUCAGCAGUUUUUAUAAAAAUACAUUUGUAUCAAUAAACACAUUAAGUUUUUAGUUUUGGGUAUGUACCUCAGUGGUACAACAGUGGCCUGGCAUGAACAAGGCACUAUGCUCAGUACCUAGCACCACAAAAGAAGAAAUCCAAUUUUCUUGAGCAUUACAAAGAAAUUUUACCAAUACUAUUUUACUAUUAUCGAUUUAACUACCAUCAGUACAAACUCUAAUUUUCUAUUAAAUUUCUUUUUCUCUUUUAAAGUUUACUUUUAAUUAUGUAUGUAGGUACAAAUGUGUGUUGUGUUGGUCUUUGCAUGUGUGUGUAGGUGCCUGUGCAAGCCAAAGAACCUGGAUCUCUUGGAGGUGGACUUGGAAGUGUUUGAGAGCCACCUGAUGUGGGUAUCAGGAAUCAGGCUCUGGUCUUCUAGACCACCUGCUAUUGUCUUCUUGACAGGACUGGAAGUAAAACUAAGGGCUAACUGAUGGCUGGUACAUAGACAGCUUGCCGUGAAAGCCUGUUUGUCAGCCCUGAGACACUUCCACCCCGGACGGAAGGAAAGAGCUGCUUCCCAAGGUUGUCCUGGCUCCCACCUGCACACCAUGGCACACAUGCCUUCCACACACACAGUCUUUAAGAAUAAAAUAAAAUUGGCGUCGGCUUACAUCUUCAUCUUCAUUGAAAGCUGCUGCUACUGAAAGAGUUUUUGGAGCAAGAGUUGGAACUGUUUCCUUAGGCUUCUGAAGAAGAAACAUUUAACAGAAUUAUCACAAAUAAAACUUAUAUAGCCUUGUUUAUUAAAAUAAUAAUUGUUCUUACAAGGUUCAAUUUUACCCAAUUUUAUGUUUUUAUAAGCUUCCACAGUAAGGAACUCAGUAUUUUGGGCAAAUCCAUUAUACCUUUGAAAAUAAGAGUUACCAGCAGGAUCAUUUUACUUUAUUAAUUUCAUAUAGCCAAUAGCUUUUCUCUAUAAAAAAUCUCUCCUUAGGAUUUGAAGUUUACUAUCAGUUAAGCUAAGGGGUGCGCAUAGAAGAGAUGAAUGACUAGAAAUGCUAUCUGCCCACAGCGUGCUGCAUGGACCACAGUGCCUUAGAACGCAGGGAGCAUCCCGCUGACGUAGUCUUCCAGUUCCUUUCUACCUUGGCCUGCAAUCAGCUUCUUUCUCCUUCCUGGUCAAUCUCUGUACUUCUCACUGUCCCUUCCACUGCAACACACCCCAGGGUCACCAGUGAUUAAUGUUUUUAAGUACUCAAGCUUGAAAAUCUUUCCUUUGUCUUACAAGCGUCUCUUGCUCAGAUCCGUAUUGAGCACUCCUAUUUUUCCCCCUCUGUCCAUGAUACUAACCCACUACCUUCUUUCUCACCCUUAGCACCGCCCACUGGAACAACCAGUAGAAUUAGCAUAUGCCGAGUCUUUCUCCACAGCACGGGGCUAUGGAGCUCAGUGACAGAGAGACUGUCUAGCAUUUAUAACAAGUCCUUGGCUUCAGUUCCCAACACUGAAGGAGAGAGGAUCCCGCCAUUCACAGCCUUUACAUCUUUUUCAAACCAGUGAUGUUCCUAAGACGCCGAUGGACCUUAGUCCUGACGCUCCUUGUUAUACAUGCAGUCCUGAAGGAUCUGGUUCAAAGCCUCACUUUGAUUUUUAACUGAAGAGGCUUUUCCGAACCUAACUCAACCACUUAACAAUUAUUAAAUCCCAUCAAUUAUUUAGAAAAAGAAGGAACUGGACUCAGGAGUAUGCCCAAGCAGAUUAGAAUUAUAUGAGUGUAUGUUUAAUGUUUAAAAAAGCUAAAUAGGGUAUGAUCAAGAUACUGUAUAAACAUACAGUGUAUGUUUAAACUGUUAAAAGAGUAAAUAAAAAUAUUUUUAAGAAAUCAAGUAUUUAUGCAGUUAGGUCUACGUGAUUUUUAAACAUUACACAUCAAGAACCAGAGGAUAUAGAGAAAAAUGUUAAUGAAAUAAAAAUAUCAUUAAAUUUUUUGUUUCGACUCAGAUUUUCUUUUUAAAGAGGGGGAAAAGACUCCAGGUGGGAUCUGGGGUUCUGAGAAAUGGCUGCUCUUAUUCUUUAGAAAAAAGCUCAGACUCUAGAGAGAAUAUGAAAAUGAAAAUUUUUCAUUUUUAAAAAAAUCUCCGAAAUGAACAUCUACGGCAUAAAUAAAACCAUUUCCAUCUGACCUUUACGAAUUAAAAAAACUUUAAAAAACCAUAGAUAGAUAAUCAGAUAACCCUAACUAAGAUUAAUUUACUGCAUUAAUCCUUUAAGUUACAAAGAAAUGAUUUAUAGUUAUUACUAUGAUUUGGAGGUACAUAAUGCCAGGUCCUCUCCAAGGCCUCUCAAAUGCUAAACAUAUAUUCUAUAGCAGAGCUACAGCACAAUACAAAUUAUAACUUAAUAUACUAGUAGUAAAAGGUAUUUUAAAAUUCCCAAGUAUUUUUCAAAGAUUUUGUUCAAUUAAGAAAGGUUCUGGGCUGGAGGUUCUGGGCUCAGAGGUUAAACGCACUGACUGUUCUCCCAGAGGUCCUGAAUUCAAUUCCCAGCACCCACAUGGGGGCUCACAACCAUCUGUAAUGAGAUCUAGUGCCCUCUUCUGACCAACAGGCAUACAUGCAGGGAGAACACUGUAUACAUAAUAAAUCUUAAAAAUAAAAAAAAGGUUCUAAGUGAUUACUUUAUAAAUCAUGCAUUCUUUACAACCAACUGAUAGAAUUCAUAGGCCUUUCCUAACGUAUUCAUUACUUUUUGACUUACAAGUUCAUAUCCAGUUAGAGCAGUUUACCUUUACACACUUCACAUACACGCACGCACACACAGACACACACGCACUCGUGCAUAGACACACACACAUGCGUGCACAGACACACACACACACACACACACACACACACACACACACACACACACACACACACACACACACAGAAAAGCAGACUGAUGAAGCCAAUCUUUAAGGACCAUUACAAAAGCACACAUAGAACAACUCACACUUGCUCCGAGUCUAAUGGAGAUGGCGGAUGCUUUCCUUGCUGUCUGACUACCUAUGGCAAAUCCAAACUUGGACAUCUUUGUAGGCUUUGUUGGGAGGUCUGCAGCUUCGUCUUCAGCUGAUCGCUUUUCAGCGCUGCGACUGGAACUUUCCCCUCCAUUACUGGAAGAAACAGUCUUAGUUUUCACAGGUUUUUCUGCUUCUUCUUCAGGUCCUGGUGAAGUCGAAACAACUUACCAAGAUGAGCUAUUUUUACUGAGCAGAUUGAUGGGAGCAGCAACCUCACAAAGCAUCUUUACAAGGAAGAUACCUCUGCAGCUGUCACCUACUGACCCAACAGUCUCUUCACUGCUUGUUAGAGUGUACAGCAGGAACUGAGAUUGUGUGGCAGUACAAGAGGCUCCCAUGAAUUAACUAGCAUAAAAUACAGAGCAAUUUAAAAUUAUAAACACAGAGUUCACAGAGAGUUAAAAACCCGUCAGCUAAACAUUACCUUAUUAAUUAUACAUUAAUCUUGGUUACAUUUGUGGAAUUUUUGAUGUUCAGAAAUUGAAACCAACAAAUUAUUUUAUAUAAACUAACUUGUACAUAAUCAUGUGGCAAUACAAAACCUCUGGCUAAUAAAUUAUAAUAUUCUCAGUAAUGUAGUCCUAAUCAUACAAAACAUCUAGUCAUGCACAUGUCCACUGUUGGUUAAACUACACUGUGAAAUCAGUCUACAGCCUUUUCUUCCCUCCUUCACCAUACCGAAUACCCAGGGCUUUGCUUAUACAAGACAAAGCAUUCUACACUGAGCUACACCUCUGGCUAGUCAAUCCCUAGCUAAAUUAUGUUCCUAAGUGAUGUUACUCAAGCUACACCUUACAUAACCUAUGGAGUUGAAAAAACUUCAAGGUAAAUCUCUUGUGAGUUAACCCUAUUCUGAAAGCUGGUCUAACACCUGCUCUAAGCUACAUAUAAGAGUUAUUCAAACAAGAGUUAUUUCACUUACAUAUUUUCUCAUGAAUCAAGAAAGUACAGAGAUAUAUACAGAUGUAGAAAUCAAGAUGUCUUCAACAAUUUUGCUUGUAUGUGUUUAAGUCAAUAAUAACUUCAUGUCUUGAGUAUAUUAGGCUUGUUCAUAAAUAAGACUAUUUAAGAACAUAUUAGAAAGACCGAAAAGGGGCUGGAGAGAUGGCUCAACGGUUAAGAGCACUGACUGCUCUUCUAGAGGUCCUGAGUUCAAACCCUAGCAACCACAUGGUGGCUCACAAUCAUGAGAUCUGAUGCCCUCUUCUGGUGUGUCUGAAAACAGCUACAGUGUAUUUAUAUUUAAAAAAAAAAUUAAAAAAAAAAAAAAAAGAAAGACCAAACAGACUGGUCAAUCUUUUUUCUCUCCAGCUCUACCCUACAGGAUACAUUCUGAGACUCAAACUUACUGGUAGAGAAACGGAACAUGCUCUAAGUGACUGCCUUGGCAAGUUCAAUAACAAAAUGGGGCAAAGCUAGAAUGGAGGUCAAACAUGGUAACUGACAAGUAAAAGAAUCAAAAACUCAAGACUACACAUCUAGAUUCAUGCAGUUUGGUAAUGACACAUCUUUAGGUUAAUUAGUACUUUGUGGCAUGGAGGACUGAACACAGAGCCUUGUACAAACUAUUAAGUACUAUAAGUGACCUAUUUGCCCACGUAGCUUUCUCAUUUCCAGCUAUAUUGCCCAAGGCCAGGCAUCACUGUAACUUGCACACAUCUUGUUCCAUCUCCAGGGUACAUGGGCUUGUAUCACCAUGCUAAUUCGACAAGCACUUUGAAUAGAGUAUCUGAUUUGGUACAGAUUAAAUAAACAACUUUCAGGGCUGGUGAGAUGGCUCAGCGGUUAAGAGCACCGACUACUCUUCCAAAGGUCCUGAGUUCAAAUCCCAGUAACCACAUGGUGGCUCACAACCAUCUAUAAAUAAAGUAAAUAAAUUGAAAAAUAAAUAAAUAAAUAAACUACUUUCUUUGGAUUAGAGCUCCAGUUUGCAAGAGGCAAAGGUGGAACUGAGUAGUUUCCUGAGACGCCAUUCGUUUACUUAUAUGUAAGAGGAUCUGAAUUGAAAGAAUGAACGACUACUCUCCAGUAACUGAGAACCCAAUUUAAAACAGAAUUUCUUUUUUUUUUUUUUUUGGGUUCUUUUUUUCAGAGCUGGGGACCGAACCCAGGGCCUUGCGCUUCCUAGGUAAGCGCUCUACCACUGAGCUAAAUCCCCAGCCCCAAAACAGAAUUUCUUAAAUUGGUAGUGGGCCUAGACUUGUAAUCCCAGCAUUCAUGUGACGAGUCAGGAGCCUAGUCUGAGGCCACCGUGAACUAAAGGACAUGCUAGACAGCUCGGACUAGACUCGGACCUGUGCAUUUUAUUUGCACUCUUAAUCAAGUAUAUUUAAGCAGGAACUGGCAUCAACCAUUGUAUUCUGUACUCUUGUAUGAAGACAUAAAAAAAUUUGUCAGCAGAUGGCUCAGCAGGAAGAUAACUUUUACUCAUCUUCCAGAGGAUCCCAGUUAGAGCCCCAGCACCCACACAAGGCAGCUCACAAUUCCUGUAACUGCAGCUCUGGGAGAUCCAACUCUCAGGCCUUCCUGCACACCUGUGUUCAUGUGCACACACUCACACACAGACAUGUGAUUAAAAAUAAUUCUGUGUGCCUUUAAUCCCAGGCCUUGAGAGGCAGAGGCAGGAGGAUUUCCCUGAGUUCCAGAUUACCAAAAUCACACAGUGAAAUCCUGUCUCAAAAACAACAAAAUAAUUUUAAGCAAUCUUUAAUAAAAUAAUUUCAGGAAUGUAUAUAGAUAGCAUCUUCUGUUUGGAUAUGGAGAGCAGGGAGUGAAGAAGGUGAACACAGUAUAGACUCUCAUUUCUUAGUAUACACAGGUUCAAUGUGACACAUAGGUUGGCCGCUUUGUCUUCAUACAACUCUCUUAGCAAUUAUGUAGCAAAACACACAAAGCAUUUAGGAAAAAAGCAAAUAAAACAAUGGACUAAAAUGGGAAAACAGCAGACAAAUAUAUUUUUUACUACUGAUUGCUAUUAAAAUAUUUGUAAUUCUAAACAUGGAUCAUUAGAAAAUUAUCUCAAACAAAUAUGAGUGUUGAAGUCUAUCACUGAAUAUUAACAUUUAAUUCAUAAGUACAAAAUGUUCUUUAAAUGCAAACUAAUUUAGCAUUUGGAACAUUUAAUCAAGGAUCUCUACUUUCAAUUUAUUGAGACAUUUUGUUUGUGUUUGUUUUGUGAGACUGAGUAUCACUGUGUAACCCUGACUGGUCUGAAAUUCACUAUGUAAUUAAUGUAGUUCAAGUACUUCAAACCUCUACUUUGCACUCCAGAGGGAUACUCCUGCUCCCUGCAUCCCAACUGCUGGAAUUCAGCACUUAGUUUAUUAAGACAUUUUGUAUUUUAAAACUAUGGAAAACAAAUGUUGAAUGACUACUGAUUAAUACUGUGAAUAUCUUUAGUAGUGUGAAUUAUAAUGAAUAAAUGAACAAGCAUUCUUAAAUGAGAAAAUCCCUUUUGUUUUUUGUAAAAAAAUAUUUUUAUUUUAUAUGCAAUGUUGUUUGCCUGCAUGCAUGUUUGUAUGGACGUGUCAGAUCUUGAAGUUACAGGUAGUUGUAAGCUACCAUAUAGGUGCUGAAAAUUGAACCCAGGUCCUCUGGAAGGGCAUUCGCUGCUCUUAACCACUGAGCCAUCUCUCCAGCCUCAGCCCUUUCAGUUUGUAAGUCAUCAUUACACAAAUUGCUAGCUUUUAGAUGAGAGAAUAUUUUAGUGAAGACUUCUGUCUACUUUGUAUUCCUUCUAAGUAAACAAAUCAUGUAAGUUAAUAUCAAUUAAACCAUACAUACUACAAUUUUUCUUUUUCACUGACUAGCUAAGAUGAGACAAUUCCACAAAGGUACCAUUCAUGAGCCAUGUGCACUCUGGUAGCUUAUCUGGAGGAAAACCAAACCAAAAAAACCAAACACCAAAACAAAACAAAACAAAAAACAAAACAAAACAAAGCAAGGACUCAAGUAGCUCUCUGACAGGACAGGUAGUCCAUGAGCUGUUUUGACACAGGAAGUAUACACAUCAUUGAAGUAGCUCUUGGCAUAACCACUGAUGGCUUGAAAUAGAUAUGAUUACACAUUAAGUUGCUUGUCUCUCUAAAUUUCUACUCAAGUUAAAGAGCUACAUAACCUUAACCAAAAAAUAUCUACAAAGUCUCCCCAAGUAGACUGAAGAGAAAGGUGGUUCAAGAUGGCUCUCCAGUAGAGAACACGUUAAGUUUAACAUGGGGAUAGUAUAUUUACUAAAACAGAGCACAGGAGAGAGGUUCAUCCUCAGCAUAAACGAGGCCUUGGGCUCUCUCUCUAGCAUCCAUAACAAGAUUAAAUGGGUAGGAAAACUAUUCAUAUUUCCAACACUGUGAGCUGUGUCACAGAAGAAAAACUGCCAAUGCUACACAAAGUUUUCCAAGAGAGCUGAAUACUUGCUUCAGGCUCAUCAAUUCAAUUCUAUCUAUGGGUGAAAUGUUUCAGUUAUGAAUCCUCUGCACAAUCCCAUUAUGCCUGACAUUAAAGUGAGCUAUGCGAAAUGAGGCAAAUUAUGUAGAAAGGACUGCUAUUUUGAGUUACCAGCAUAAAAUAACCUACACAACCCCUAACACUGUUAAAAUGGAAAUAUUAUUCACAGGACAGAAUGUCCCUCAACUGAAAGGGUGGCAAGCACAUUACACACGGAUUUGGACACUUAAGGUACAUUUUAGCAGUGCUGUAGAACAAUUUUCUCAGUCAAGUCAAAAGGAGCUUAAAUUCAAGGCCACCCAAGACACUUUAGGCUAUAGGUCUUCCUCAAACUACUUUUAAUCCUAAUGGACAAGGUCUAAAGUAAGAAUUAAAAUACUUUCAUUUGCUAUUUUACUAAUUUAAAAAACAAAAUGAGGAAGAGACCUGACAAAGUGGCCAUGGCCUGUAAUCCCAGUACUCAGGAUGGGGGCGGGGGUUUUGGGCAAUUAACAAACUUGGUAGAGCCACCUUUUGCCUUUACGCGAUACUGGGUCUACAUGUUCUCGCAUUUAAGUAUCUCAGGGACAAGACCGAAGAAAGCUAGAACAGUGAAAGGCUAAAACAUUCUAAACAAGACAUUAUUUAUUAUCCGCUCACGUGUGUUAAUUAUCCUUAUGACAAAAGGGCGUAGGGGAAAAGAGACUACGUAUUUCUUUCCCUUUAUGCACACCAUCAAAAAUUACGGUGGUAGGAGGAAUGAAAAGAUAGCUAUACUCUGAGUUUAAUUUCAGGACAAAUUACAGGAAGAUCGCACCUGCCACCUUAUUAUCUGACAUAGACUCUGCUGUUAGCAGCCUAAGAAGAAUACUGUAAAGAAAGCGAAUCAAACCCUAAUUUCAAGCUUUUGCUGCUUGAGCCAGAUCACCUUUCCUCCCUGCAUCGUCUCGACUUACGCCAUCGCAGGGUUUAUAAAUGUUAUGUCUGAAUAUACAGCAAAGAGUGGGCUGGGGUCUUCCACCUCCUCAGCGAAAUGAGAGCAUCAAAGCUAAUUACGUGUGACCGAGAGGCCGGCGCCUUCGGAAAGCCGGCAUGCGGCCAGUGCCCGCGGCGGCGGCUCGGCGCUCGCACGGGGGCCUGAGUGCGCGGCGGGCCCUGAGCUCUCUGCUGUUUGGGCUCCCAGCCCAAGCUCCAUCUCCCACCUCCCUUCUCAAGGCCCGGUGGUAACUGGCGGGCUCUCUGAGGAGACGAUACGGACCUCGAUCCCCCGCGGGCCACACCGGGCGUGCCCGGUACUCACCAGGGCCCAGCCCCUGGCCGGGCGAGCGCCAGCUCCGCCCGUUCCUGAGAUGCCGUAAAGCCCCCCCACCCCGGGAAACCCCAAGAAAGGCCGGAGUAGCCCCCGCAGCCCGCGACGCUGGGGUUGUUUUCACCUCCGGCGGCUCCGGCUCGCUGCGGCUUCUCGGGCUUCUCCUCUCCCGCCUUCCCGUCCGCCAUCUUCCCCGCCGCGGCCUCCCCCUUGCAGUCCGGGCAAGAACGUCACGGCCCCGCCCAGCAACCACAAAGCUUCGGGCGGGCCAGCGAGGAUGCAGCCUAGAGCGGUCCUGGAACGGGAGCCAGAAGCGGAAGUGACGUCAUUGGCUUGCUGCGGCAUGAACCGGGUGUCGGGUGACCGCCUCAGAGGGCUGAGUCGUGGGAUGGUACGUCCGGGUUAGUACGAACUUAGUGACGCUGGUACAGUUGGUGGAAUUCCAGGUUUUUACAUGCUCAGGGGUGGUCGCGGCUGGCCCUUCGUUCUAUGGGAUGGAGCUGUGUUCUUACGGAGAAACUUCAGCAGUUAUCGGACGCCGUCUAGUGUUGACACCGUUCAUGAACUAUCGUUUAAUCUCCAGUACAAUCCAAUGUGAAAUUAUCAUUUUCAUUUGUGUAAUGACACCGAAACGCAAUUUAUGGAAGAUCACGUACGGAAUUGUGGCGGAAAAAUUUCCGCGAUUUUUGCAUUCGUGAAAACUUCAGCGUGAGAGUUGUAGCAAGCAAGCAAACGUUAUUAAAAUCAGAAAUAGUUAUA